Molecule: unclassified non-coding RNA, 344 nt
Filed under: soil metagenome
Description: partial contains 5.8S ribosomal RNA, internal transcribed spacer 2, and large subunit ribosomal RNA
Rfam family: 5.8S ribosomal RNA (bases 1-120)
Source: RNAcentral
GAUGAAGAACGUAGCGAAAUGCGAUACGUAAUGUGAAUUGCAGAAUUCAGUGAAUCAUCGAGUCUUUGAACGCACAUUGCGCCCUCUGGUAUUCCGGAGGGCAUGCCUGUCCGAGCGUCAUUGCUGCCUCAAGCACGGCUUGUGUGUUGGGCUCCGUCCCCCGAUCCCGGGGGACGGGCCCGAAAGGCAGCGGCGGCACCGCGUCCGGUCCUCGAGCGUAUGGGGCUUUGUCACCCGCUCUGUAGGCCCGGCCGGCGCUUGCCGAUCAACCAAAUUUUUAUCCAGGUUGACCUCGGAUCAGGUAGGGAUACCCGCUGAACUUAAGCAUAUCAAUAAGCGGAGGA